Molecule: ribosomal RNA, 254 nt
Filed under: uncultured bacterium
Lineage: Bacteria
Description: partial 16S ribosomal RNA
Rfam family: Bacterial small subunit ribosomal RNA
Source: RNAcentral
UACGAAGGGGGGCUAGCGUUGUUCGGAUUUACUGGGCGUAAAGCGCACGUAGGCGGAUCGUUAAGUCGGGGGUGAAAUCCUGGAGCUCAACUCCAGAACUGCCUUCGAUACUGGCGAUCUUGAGUCCGGAAGAGGUGAGUGGAACUCCUAGUGUAGAGGUGGAAUUCGUAGAUAUUAGGAAGAACACCAGUGGCGAAGGCGGCUCACUGGUCCGGUACUGACGCUGAGGUGCGAAAGCGUGGGGAGCAACAGGG